CUGCUCAAACGAUCUAUGCUUCUUCUAAUCUCAUUACUGAAACAGAUUACACAUUUGCGGAUUCAGAAGUUAGCAAGGAGGCAAGCUCACGAAAGCGGUUAAAAAGUGAAUGUUGCAGCUCUCCGAGAUCUAAGGCAUGCAGAGAGAAAUUGCGGAGGGACAGACUGAAUGAGAGGUUCCUCGCAUUGAGCUCUGUCCUUGAUCCUGGAAGGCCACCAAAAACUGAGAAAGUUGCAAUUCUAAGUGAUGCUCAAAGGAUGCUGAUUGAGCUGCGAACUGAAACCCAGAAGCUGAAGGAGUCAAAUGAGGAGCUGCAAGG
Molecule: unclassified non-coding RNA, 319 nt
Filed under: Hevea brasiliensis (rubber tree)
Lineage: Eukaryota; Viridiplantae; Streptophyta; Magnoliopsida; Malpighiales; Euphorbiaceae
Source: RNAcentral